RNAcentral lists this unclassified non-coding RNA (31 nucleotides) under Nocardia cyriacigeorgica GUH-2. Its description in RNAcentral is "tmRNA". The record is from RNAcentral. Lineage: Bacteria; Bacillati; Actinomycetota; Actinomycetes; Mycobacteriales; Nocardiaceae.
GGUCAGGGGUUCGAUUCCCCUUAGCUCCACC